AAUCAAGAAGUUGGCGUGCAGCUGGGAGAGCUAGACUAAGUUGGUCAUGAUGCAGAAGCUACUCAAAUGCAGUCGGCUUGUCCUGGCUCUUGCCCUCAUCCUGGUUCUGGAAUCCUCAGUUCAAGGUAAGACUCAGGAGUCUUGUUCCCCAGCCAUCUUCUCUGUAAGCCCUGUGGUCCAUGCAAGUCAUUAUAUUCAUUUUAAGGCAUAGAAUGUAUAAUAUUGUGAGAAAGGAGGCAAAGAAGAAGGAUUUGGGGUCGCUGAACCCUUUAAUAUGAGUUCUGUUAAGUUUGGUACCAAGAAAAAUUAAACUCUGUGGCGUGUGCAGUCUUGUAAACUCUUACAAUGAUUGAAAUGUGCUAUUUUGGGAUGAAAAUGUGAGGUUUAUAAAUUUUAAAAGCUCAAAAAAGGAAUCUAGAAAAUGACUCCUGUGCCUGUUGCAUGGAGGAGAUGGCACCUUUGACUGUUGGGGGGUGUCUGCCUACCCCUAAGUGUCUACAUCAGCCCCAAGUUUUAGUGCGCUGUGACGGUGUCAUUGUUAUUUUAACACUGGGAGACGUUAUAUUCCAAUUGGGGUGAAUCUGACUGUGUGUAUUUUCUUUUCUUUUUUUUUUUUUUAAAGAUAAACUUGGUUCUUACUGAAAACUCAAUUAUGGUUAGACAUAGUUCAUGUAAAACCUCUCAGAUUUUAAAGAGAAGGCCAAAUAAUUUGGUAUUUGUGCUCUUGCUCAGAGAAGCAUCAUAUUCGGAAAUAUCUUCCUAGGUUUAUCUACCAUUUAGUGUUGUUUAGUCAGACUGAAACAACUUAAAACCUGUAAUGACUAAGACAAUGAAAAUGAUAGGCUUGUAAGAAAAAUACAAUUUGUUAUUCUUUGGCAAAUAAGGAAUCAUGUCUAAAUAAGACGGAGGUCAUGGCUUGAUAGAGAGAUGGCUGAACCUAUAGUAGAAAAACACUAGGUUCCGCCAAAUGGUAAGGGAAAUGUUGAGUCACAAUGACACACAUGUCCUAGAUUUGUUUCGUCAAAGCGACUUUUGGUUGUCAUGAUCUUACUUCCGGUGGAG
RNAcentral lists this long non-coding RNA (1062 nucleotides) under Homo sapiens (human). RNAcentral's name for it is "long non-coding RNA NONHSAT013778.2". Lineage: Eukaryota; Metazoa; Chordata; Mammalia; Primates; Hominidae. The record is from RNAcentral.